UACAGCACCCCGAGUGGUCGGGACGAUUAUUGGGCCUAAAGCAUCCGUAGCCGGUUCUGCAAGUCCCCCGUUAAAUCCAGCUGCUCAACAGAUGGGCCGCGGAGGAUACUACAGAGCUAGGAGGCAGGAGAGGCAAGCGGUACUCAGUGGGUAGGGGUAAAAUCCGUUGAUCCAUUGAAGACCACCAGUGGCGAAGGCGGCUUGCCAGAAUGCGCUCGACGGUGAGGGAUGAAAGCUGGGGGAG
RNAcentral lists this ribosomal RNA (244 nucleotides) under uncultured bacterium. Its description in RNAcentral is "partial 16S ribosomal RNA". It matches the Rfam family "Archaeal small subunit ribosomal RNA", at positions 475 to 719 of the family's 1478-position model. The record is from RNAcentral.